This 1407-nucleotide ribosomal RNA is filed under the name Vibrio parahaemolyticus. RNAcentral's name for it is "bacterial SSU rRNA". It matches the Rfam family "Bacterial small subunit ribosomal RNA". The record is from RNAcentral. Lineage: Bacteria; Pseudomonadati; Pseudomonadota; Gammaproteobacteria; Vibrionales; Vibrionaceae.
UGCAAGUCGAGCGGAAACGAGUUAUCUGAACCUUCGGGGGACGAUAACGGCGUCGAGCGGCGGACGGGUGAGUAAUGCCUAGGAAAUUGCCCUGAUGUGGGGGAUAACCAUUGGAAACGAUGGCUAAUACCGCAUGAUGCCUACGGGCCAAAGAGGGGGACCUUCGGGCCUCUCGCGUCAGGAUAUGCCUAGGUGGGAUUAGCUAGUUGGUGAGGUAAGGGCUCACCAAGGCGACGAUCCCUAGCUGGUCUGAGAGGAUGAUCAGCCACACUGGAACUGAGACACGGUCCAGACUCCUACGGGAGGCAGCAGUGGGGAAUAUUGCACAAUGGGCGCAAGCCUGAUGCAGCCAUGCCGCGUGUGUGAAGAAGGCCUUCGGGUUGUAAAGCACUUUCAGUCGUGAGGAAGGUAGUGUAGUUAAUAGCUGCAUUAUUUGACGUUAGCGACAGAAGAAGCACCGGCUAACUCCGUGCCAGCAGCCGCGGUAAUACGGAGGGUGCGAGCGUUAAUCGGAAUUACUGGGCGUAAAGCGCAUGCAGGUGGUUUGUUAAGUCAGAUGUGAAAGCCCGGGGCUCAACCUCGGAAUUGCAUUUGAAACUGGCAGACUAGAGUACUGUAGAGGGGGGUAGAAUUUCAGGUGUAGCGGUGAAAUGCGUAGAGAUCUGAAGGAAUACCGGUGGCGAAGGCGGCCCCCUGGACAGAUACUGACACUCAGAUGCGAAAGCGUGGGGAGCAAACAGGAUUAGAUACCCUGGUAGUCCACGCCGUAAACGAUGUCUACUUGGAGGUUGUGGCCUUGAGCCGUGGCUUUCGGAGCUAACGCGUUAAGUAGACCGCCUGGGGAGUACGGUCGCAAGAUUAAAACUCAAAUGAAUUGACGGGGGCCCGCACAAGCGGUGGAGCAUGUGGUUUAAUUCGAUGCAACGCGAAGAACCUUACCUACUCUUGACAUCCAGAGAACUUUCCAGAGAUGGAUUGGUGCCUUCGGGAACUCUGAGACAGGUGCUGCAUGGCUGUCGUCAGCUCGUGUUGUGAAAUGUUGGGUUAAGUCCCGCAACGAGCGCAACCCUUAUCCUUGUUUGCCAGCGAGUAAUGUCGGGAACUCCAGGGAGACUGCCGGUGAUAAACCGGAGGAAGGUGGGGACGACGUCAAGUCAUCAUGGCCCUUACGAGUAGGGCUACACACGUGCUACAAUGGCGCAUACAGAGGGCAGCCAACUUGCGAAAGUGAGCGAAUCCCAAAAAGUGCGUCGUAGUCCGGAUUGGAGUCUGCAACUCGACUCCAUGAAGUCGGAAUCGCUAGUAAUCGUGGAUCAGAAUGCCACGGUGAAUACGUUCCCGGGCCUUGUACACACCGCCCGUCACACCAUGGGAGUGGGCUGCAAAAGAAGUAGGUAGUUUAACCUU